Molecule: ribosomal RNA, 184 nt
Filed under: uncultured Smithella sp.
Lineage: Bacteria; Pseudomonadati; Thermodesulfobacteriota; Syntrophia; Syntrophales; Smithellaceae
Description: partial 16S ribosomal RNA
Rfam family: Bacterial small subunit ribosomal RNA
Source: RNAcentral
CGUCUUAGCCCAGGGCUACACACGUGCUACAAUGGGUGGUACAAAGAGAUGCCAACUCGCGAGAGCGCGCCAAUCUCAGAAAGCCAUCCUCAGUUCGGAUUGGAGUCUGCAACUCGACUCCAUGAAGUUGGAAUCGCUAGUAAUCGCGGAUCAGCACGCCGCGGUGAAUACGUUCCCGGGCCUU